UUUUUUUUUUUUUUUUCGAUAUUACCACCGGGGAACAUUCGACGUGGCAAAUGUUCUCUCUUCACGUGAAACAUAUCCGUAUUUGAAUUUAACAUCGUGUCGCUGAUACUUCGAAUCGGGAAUUUUUUUAAAUCCCCAGAAAUAUUCUUUUUUUUUCUGAUGAAAAUCCUGUUUUUUUUUUCCUUCAGCCGCGGAGAUUAAACAAUUCAUUUGUGAUGGAAAUUGUCGACGAAAUGGAAUUGGAAUCGUUUUUCAGUUUAUACAUAUUUCUUUCGCUGAUUUGCUUGUUAAUUCGAUUGUUAAAAAAAAAAAAAAAACAGACCUAUCUGGUGUAAUUUUCAAAGAAUUUUAUUUGCCAUUUUUUUAAUCCUUUGAUUAAUAUUGAGCAAAAAAUAAUUGGAUAAAUAUUUCAUUUUAAAAUUCAAUAUUUAAAGAAAUUUACACGUGGACGUUAAAAAUGGACACGUAAUAUUUAAAUUCUGAUUCAAAAUUUCCAUUUCCAGCGUGAAACACAACUAUAAAAAUUGUUUUCCGGAUUUUCAACGUUUCGUUUCUCUUGUUUCCAAAGGCUUCGCAAGUUGUUUAAUCGAAGAAAAUUGCGCGGAAGCAUUAUACAUCGUCAAACAAUCGGAAACAAUUCCAAUUUCCAAAUUGGAUUUCAAUCACGUAAUAAUACACCGACUCCAUCCUCCUAAAAUAAUCCCUAAGCCACGUGUAAACGUUUAAAUCUCCAUUUCUCCGAAAAUUUUACACGCACACACGAAACAAUUCCAAACGAUUGCAAACAAUUCCAAUUUCAAAAUUGGAUUUCGAUAUAACGCAGUAAUUCUGACUCCAUCCUUCCAAAAAUAAAAUGCUUCGUUCAUUCCGAAUCUAAUUCUCGCCCGAAAAACUUUGCGCGUCGAGCACAAUGCAUCAUCGAGCGAUGCACGCGAUCAAAUUUUAUCACCGUCGAUAAAAUAGCCGGAGGGAAAAUUUUGGACCACGGUUUUUGCUCGGCCAUUGUCAUUGUCGUCCCGCGAUUCGUAUAUAGAGAAAGGGGCUCGAUGAAUCAAACCGAGGAGGACGGAUACGUUGCGAAGUGCUUUUCAGAGGAUUGUCUCGCCCUAAGCGCGUACCAUCCCCUCCCUCCCUUCACGCGUAUUCUUACCACCCCGCAAACUUGCAUACGAGAGUUUGCAUUUAUAUCCUCUCGAAGCUUUCAGCCGGAGGCGUUCUCCUUCGUAUUAUAGAUCUGGGAGAAAUGUUUUUGUUCAGACGCGAGAAUCGGGGAGGAAAGGCCAGAAGGAUGGCGAGAUCACGUCGACGAAUUGAAAUUAUGAUAAUUCUUUUUAAUAUUUUUUCUUUUUUUUUUUAGGUUUUGAAAGUUGUCUUCAAGAAGAAGAUUGCGCGCAAAGAGUAAUUUUGAAGCAACGUUUGAUCUAUGAUUAUGGGAUUAAGGAUUAAGAAAAAAGUUAUGAUUGAAGAAAAUUGCGGGUGGAUUAUUUCGAGGUUGGAAUGUUUGAUCUAUGUAAAUAUUUAUUGUAAAGUUUGAUUUAUGAGAGGAUUAAGAAAAUUUAGAAAAAAGUUAUCAUCAAGAUAAUUGUGUGCAGCAUUUUGGAAUUGAAAGUUUGGUUCUUUUGUGAAGGAUAUCGAUAAACUGGAUGACUGAUGAUGCAAUACGAGGAAUAAAAUCUGCAGUCAAUAUAGCGAUAAUCUUUGUAUCAUUUAUAAAGUGGCAAACGUGGCAGUGGCAUAAAGUGUUCUCAAAUUUUAUCUCGAGGCCAUAAAAGAUUAUAAAUCGGUUGUAUCACUAGUUCAUCGAUAUCAUGUGCAACUUCGUUCAAUCGAUAAAAAAGUUUCAGUGAAAACAAACAUUGGACAGAAAGAAAGAGAGAGAUAGAGACAAGUAUAGAGUUCGUGACAAGGAAUACUGUCUGUCACUUGUCUGGAGCUUGGAAUAGGUCAGUGAGAGAAGAUGCGAGCGAGAGAUCCGAGUAAGGGACAAAGAUGGAGAUAGUAAACGAUUAAAAAAUUAUCCUUCUCUUUAAACGAUGAUAUCUCGGCAAGCGGAAGUCGUAUCGAGAUAAACGAAAAAGCGUUUUAAAGAGGAAGGUUCUGCGCUUCUAACGAUCUUUCACUUGAUGGCCGGAAGUCAUUAUCUUCAGAGUUACAGCGGCUCAAUUUUAAUAGGGUUUAACGGUAAAUAAAUAAAUUUACGAUACUCUUUACACGAUGAUAUUUCGGGACUCGAAAGUCGUAUUGAAAUAAACGAGAGAGCAUUUUAAAGGGGAAAGUUCCACGCUUUUAAUGAUCGUUCAUUCGUUGGCCGAGAAUCAUUAUUCUUGGAAUUAAAGCGGUUCGAAGUUUUGGUAAUUUUAAUACGCUUAUAAUCAAGUUUCGAGAUGGAUCGUUACAAUUGUUGAGGGAUAUUUUAGUCGAUUCGAAGAUUCACCGUUCAAUUGUUAUCCAAGUAGUGUCAUUAAAUGUCAACUCGCUCGACAAAAUUACUACGAAUUUUCCAAAGUUGUUACAAAGAAUUAUUCGAGGAAAAAUGAGUGGUUGACAGAAGGAGAGAUUUUUCGAGAUGGCGGGUUUUUAUCAAAGAUUUUAUUUCCAGUA
This is a long non-coding RNA of Apis cerana (Asiatic honeybee), 2601 nucleotides long. RefSeq lists it as uncharacterized. Lineage: Eukaryota; Metazoa; Arthropoda; Insecta; Hymenoptera; Apidae. The record is from RefSeq and is a predicted model, not a curated record.